UACGUAGGGUGCAAGCGUUAAUCGGAAUUACUGGGCGUAAAGCGUGCGCAGGCGGUUUUGUAAGUCUGUCGUGAAAGCCCCGGGCUCAACCUGGGAAUUGCGAUGGAGACUGCAAGGCUUGAAUCUGGCAGAGGGGGGUAGAAUUCCACGUGUAGCAGUGAAAUGCGUAGAUAUCUGGAGGAACACCGGUGGCGAAGGCGGCAUCCUGGACCGGUAUUGACGCUGAGGCGCGAAAGCUAGGGGAGCAAACGGG
This 253-nucleotide ribosomal RNA is filed under the name uncultured bacterium. Its description in RNAcentral is "partial 16S ribosomal RNA". It matches the Rfam family "Bacterial small subunit ribosomal RNA", at positions 524 to 776 of the family's 1533-position model. The record is from RNAcentral.